This 468-nucleotide ribosomal RNA is filed under the name uncultured bacterium. RNAcentral's name for it is "partial 16S ribosomal RNA". It matches the Rfam family "Bacterial small subunit ribosomal RNA", at positions 28 to 507 of the family's 1533-position model. The record is from RNAcentral.
GACGAACGCUGGCGGCGUGCUUAACACAUGCAAGUCGAACGGAAAGGCCCUGCUUUUGUGGGGUGCUCGAGUGGCGAAAAGGUGAGUAACACGUGAGUAGCCUGCCCUUGACUUUGGGAUAACUUCAGGAAACUGGGGCUAAUACCGGAUAGGAGCUCCUGCUGCAUGGUGGGGGUUGGAAAGUUUCGGCGGUUGGGGAUGGACUCGCGGCUUAUCAGCUUGUUGGUGGGGUAGUGGCUUACCAAGGCUUUGACGGGUAGCCGGCCUGAGAGGGUGACCGGCCACAUUGGGACUGAGAUACGGCCCAGACUCCUACGGGAGGCAGCAGUGGGGAAUAUUGCACAAUGGGCGGAAGCCUGAUGCAGCAACGCCGCGUGCGGGAUGACGGCCUUCGGGUUGUAAACCGCUUUCGCCUGUGACGAAGCGUGAGUGACGGUAAUGGGUAAAGAAGCACCGGCUAACUACGUG